GCGGUCGUGGCGGAAUUGGUAGACGCGCAGCGUUGAGGUCGCUGUUCUUUAAUCGGAGUGGGGGUUCGAGUCCCCCCGACCGCACCA
This 87-nucleotide transfer RNA is filed under the name Loktanella salsilacus. Its description in RNAcentral is "tRNA_Leu_GAG". It matches the Rfam family "tRNA". Rfam says of the family: Transfer RNA (tRNA) molecules are approximately 80 nucleotides in length. Their secondary structure includes four short double-helical elements and three loops (D, anti-codon, and T loops). Lineage: Bacteria; Pseudomonadati; Pseudomonadota; Alphaproteobacteria; Rhodobacterales; Roseobacteraceae. The record is from RNAcentral. RNAcentral also lists the same sequence under 2 other names.